This is a long non-coding RNA of Sphaerodactylus townsendi, 340 nucleotides long. RefSeq lists it as uncharacterized. Lineage: Eukaryota; Metazoa; Chordata; Lepidosauria; Squamata; Sphaerodactylidae. The record is from RefSeq and is a predicted model, not a curated record. The transcript is spliced from 3 exons.
GGCGGAGCCACCGCGGGACAAGGAGGCCCGAGGCUGGAGCAGCUCUCUUCGCAGGGGGGGCUGGGGAGGGAAAGCCAGAGAGGCCAAAAAUCCGCCGUCGCGGCCCCUUGAGGCUGAAAGCUGGGAGGAAGAAGCGAGUGGAGCGGCGGCAGCAGCAGCAGCAGAGAUGGCGCGGCUGGUGGCAGUUUGCAGAGACGGAGAAGAAGAAUUUCUCUUCGAGAAGCGGCAGAUCCCCCUUUACAUCGAUGACUCCCUGACGAUGGUGAUGGAGUUUCUUGAUAAUGUGCUAAACCUUGAUGGACAUCAGAAUAAUGGAGCACAGCUAAAGCAGUUCGUCCAG